AACGAACGCUGGCGGCAUGCCUAACACAUGCAAGUCGAACGAGACCUCCGGGUCUUGUGGCGCUCCGCUACUUGACGCGGGGGAACCAGCCCGUAGGUUAGCAAUCCCUCCCCGAGGGGGGUGCUAAUACCGGUUAAUGUCUUCGCACCUAAGAUUUCUCGCGUUUGGGUGGGCGGUGGUUGGAUUCGCUCGUUGGUAGGGUACAAGCCUACCAUGGCGACGAUCCAUAGCUGGUCGGAGAGGAGGCUCAGCAACGCUGGGACUGAGACACGGCCCAGACUCCGACGGAGGGGAGCAGUGGGGAACAUUGGACAAGGGGCGAUAGCCUGAUCCAGCAACGCCGCGUGAGUGAUGCAGGCCGUAGGGUUGUAAAGCUCUUUUACCCGGGAUGAUAAUGACAGUACCGGGUGAAUAAGCACCGGCUAACUCCGUG
This 433-nucleotide ribosomal RNA is filed under the name uncultured bacterium. RNAcentral's name for it is "partial 16S ribosomal RNA". It matches the Rfam family "Bacterial small subunit ribosomal RNA", at positions 29 to 507 of the family's 1533-position model. The record is from RNAcentral.